UACGAAGGGGGCUAGCGUUGCUCGGAUUCACUGGGCGUAAAGCGUAUGUAGGUGGUUAAGUAUGUCAGGGGUGAAAGCCCGCCGCUCAACGGCGGAACGGCCUUUGAAACUGCUUAGCUAGAGUGAAGGAGAGGAUGGUGGAAUUCCCGGUGUAGAGGUGAAAUUCGUAGAUAUCGGGGGGAACACCAGUGGCGAAGGCGGCCAUCUGGCCUUUUACUGACACUGAGAUACGACAGCGUGGGGAGCAAACAGG
This 253-nucleotide ribosomal RNA is filed under the name uncultured bacterium. RNAcentral's name for it is "partial 16S ribosomal RNA". It matches the Rfam family "Bacterial small subunit ribosomal RNA", at positions 524 to 776 of the family's 1533-position model. The record is from RNAcentral.